GAUUUUUUCACCUUUUUAGGUUUCCGUUUUUUUCUUUAGUAUAAAAGGAUAUAAUGGACCACAUUAAUGCACAUUAUCGUCCUGGGCUGAAUGUCGGAGAGGGCAGAGGUCAUAUAAAGAUUUAUUCGACGUAAUAGGAUGAAAACAGCAGGUAGACCACAGAGGCAGAGGAUCAGAGAAAGAUUCAGGUGUGUGUGUGUGUGUGUGUGUGCAUGUGUCAGAUUAACGCUAAAGUGGAUCAGUAAGGGUUAAACCAUCUGUCCAGCCUCUCCAUCUGCAGCCCCAGUCAGCAGUACAAACCACUUAGCGAGGCGAAACCCAUCUACACCCGAGCAAAAUCCAGUGCAUAAACACAGCUCAGCGUCCUUCCACAGAAAUCACCUGCCCUGCUUGGCCCAGAUUAAACACACACUUAAAACACAGUUGGACUGUGGAGCGAAUUCAUUUAACUGUUGCAUUUCAGCACAAAAACCUGCUUCAUACUCACUAACCAGUCCAUUUUAACCGGUCUCUAUCUAGCACUGCACAACUGUGCUCUCUUUUCAGCAUAAAACAUGCCUACUUUCAGUUUACACCCACUUUUUUAUUCACAAACACUGUGCUAUUACCUCCUGUGGAAAUAGAAGCGAAACAACAUUAUCCUAGAGCGCUCAUUCUUAGUGAAUUCCCCUCUUGCAUGUAGACAUCUGUCAUCGUAACAAACCAGCACCGUUUGAGUCCUUAGAUGUGCUGGGUAGCAUUUAAAAUGUUUCUUUGGGUACCGACGCUUCAUAUAAUGUAAAGAAAAACUGAUCCGAGACCAUAAGACAGGUCUAAGACUAAGACCAUUAGACAGGCGCGAGACCGUAAGACAGGUGUGAGACCCAACGGCAGCCGCAGGUGAAGGUGAUUGAGUGCUGUCGAGCAUAUUAACACUCUCACCUUUUGAUGAAAUGAUUGAUUCUGUUAGGAACAGCUUUCGCACAUACACACUCUGAGAUAGAGCUAUACAUUCUCGGUGUAGCUUCUCAGGUGAAUAAAACUUGGAAUGGGUUUGUUAUAUAAAAAUGUGAUGCUGCAGUACCGUUAAAUGGGUCUAAACCUGACCAGGCACUACAGAAAUGCUCACUGCAGGCUACAGUGAUCAUUUCUACAUAAAGCAAAACACACAACAAAAGUCACAUAAUUACCGCUGCUUUCACUUGCCAAGCCAUUAAUCCAACAAUAAACAACCUGUAUUUGUUUAUCCAGAUGCUUGAGUCAUAAAAUUCCCUCGGCUUAUCCAACAAAUGCAUUAAAAUGCGGAUCCGAAAGCAAAAUGAGAACCAAACAGCAGAGUACAGAUACAAAGAAAGAAAUGUGCUGUGAAAGUUGCACUAUACACAUAUUUCUCUAUGGUGGGAAUAGAAAUGCAAUCUAUUAUAUUCCACGUUCUGUUGUUAGACACAAUGUAGAAGACGAAUUUGGGCAGCUGUUUGGUUUGUUAAAUGUGCUUUUCACCUCUGAUUUAUCUACUGUUAUUCUGUCAUAAAACUAUUCAUGUAAGUAGAAAACAAGAAAAGAAUGGGUUAAACAAACAAACAAACAAAAA
Sinocyclocheilus rhinocerous is the source of this 1570-nucleotide long non-coding RNA. RefSeq lists it as uncharacterized. The transcript has 2 exons. NCBI's taxonomy places the organism in Eukaryota, Metazoa, Chordata, Actinopteri, Cypriniformes, Cyprinidae. The record is from RefSeq and is a predicted model, not a curated record.